UAAAGCAAGAGGUAAACUGCCAUAAAAGUACAUUCUCAACACUUCCAUUUGAAAUUCUAUCCAACCCCCAUCCAUACACCCAGAGGAGGGGCAUCCGGGAUUCAGAGCUCCCAAGGGUCCACGGUCUUACUGCACACAGCAGGGGAAACCAUGGACACAGGGAAAAAACUUCCAUUCAAACCUGGACUCGAAGAUCUGUGCAGCUGCCGCAAUACAACAAAAUUUUAUAAUUUUAUAAUUACAAGGUAUAUUUGUUUGCCAUUGACGUCUGUACAAAUUAAUUUAUUGUCUCUGCCUAGGUACUACUUAGCCUACAUGCUUACUCGAUGUUAGGGUUCAUUCACG
Molecule: non-coding RNA, 345 nt
Organism: Pelobates cultripes (western spadefoot toad)
Lineage: Eukaryota; Metazoa; Chordata; Amphibia; Anura; Pelobatidae
Source: the annotation of a GenBank genome assembly